This 314-nucleotide long non-coding RNA is filed under the name Homo sapiens (human). RNAcentral's name for it is "non-protein coding lnc-CLEC20A-8:4". Lineage: Eukaryota; Metazoa; Chordata; Mammalia; Primates; Hominidae. The record is from RNAcentral.
CAUCCUGUGUCCUGUGGCAGCAGUCCCGGCCACGGUAUCCUCACCACAGCCUGGCCACAGCUUGGCCUCGCCUGCAUCUCCUGCUGCCAGCCGCCUUGAUACCUGCCCAUUUUCCCCAUGCGGUUCUCCAGCCUUCCGACUGAUAAGUUCUGCACAUAUUUCCCCAUGUCCAUUGCCUGCACGAGUCAGCCAGGUCAGCUCUGUCGCUUCCACCAAGACCUCUCACUGCAGUGGCUGUGCUGAGCUUGCAGCUGACGUCUGCUCUACAGUGUCAGCACUUGGGAUUCUUCUUCUGUUGGGGGUCCCUGAAGGUG